UGGGGUGGCAUUGGCGGAGGGGAUACACCUCUUCCCAUUCCGAACAGAGAAGUUAAGCCCUCCAGCGCCGAUGGUACUGCCCGGGAGACCGGGUGGGAGAGUAGGUCGCCGCCCCAU
Molecule: non-coding RNA, 117 nt
Organism: Candidatus Eisenbacteria bacterium RBG_16_71_46
Lineage: Bacteria; Candidatus Eiseniibacteriota
Source: Rfam